CGCCCGACAGCGUGUGAAUGAUAUUCUUUAACGUGACGGUGACGAAACGUCGGCCGGCCUCUACGGCAGCUCGCUUUAAUUUUUAGGGCGUGAGUCUUUAAGGCUCGACGGAGCCCUACCUCGUAUUAAUAGUCGGUUGAUGUGUUACUCACUUAGUGAAUGUCCGAUUACUUGUGUGACGUCUGGCUUUUAGGGGAAAGGUGUGCGAGACGAUUACCAUAAGCAGAAAUCGAAGAAGGAUAUGCCUAUUUUCAUGUGAAACGAGCAGGAUGGCGUUUACUACUGUCAAAUGUAUCUAGCUUACUUUUUUCAUACUCAAAAUAUUUAAUCUAAUAAGUUUUCAUAAUAAUAUAUAUUAUUUUUAAACCCUAAAAAGUGUGUAAUAUAUGAUGAUAUUUUUCCGUAAAAUUCAACGCAUCGCCCACGCCGCCACUGGACAUAAACUGAGGCAAGGGGGUAUGCGAGGCUGCGUUUUGCUAAAGAAUUAAAGCAGAUCUCGUACAUCUUUCCCCUACACCUAACGCCUAUAUCUAAAAUGAAUCAAACGGCUGUAUUACGAUUGUCGCUACUUCUCCGUUACUAAUAAUAAUUAUUAUUUAAGCUUCUUUUCUCACACAUCCAUUUUAAGAUUGUCUUUUGAUCACAAAAGAUUAUGAACAUAUCAAUGUUCAUGAAGUGUAACCCCUUGAAGGUAAAAGCCUCGUCCAUCAUUUUACAUUUCUGGUUGUCAGUUACUAACCAUAUUUACCUAAUUUUGUGCGACUUUGAAUUUGACCGCCCCUUCAAGUCUAAGCAGUUUAAUUAGUAAUUAGUUCGAGUGGUAGGUAUUAUUUAGACAUGCAUCAAUAUAUUUGGUAUGUAACGUACGAGGAUAUUCCCGGUAAACCACCUUAAGAGCAAAAAUCGUUUAAACGUCUUGCAGACACGCAAUAUCAUAAAAGUGAUGACCAAUAGCAUGGCACUUAAAAAUGCGGGUGUUGAAAAAAAAGGUUAGCUCAGGUAAAGUUUAUUGCCGUUCAUUGUCUUUGUGACGGUCGGCAUUUGCAAAUUAAGAUAAGGAAUCCACAAUGCAUCCUAAUUGGUUAUCUUUUUCGGGAGGCGAAGCUUAGCCUAAACAACAACAACUAAUAAACUUUACUGUCCUUACUACCUAUUGUUUGUGUCAUUCAACGUUUUUACCUUUGCAUUAUAUGAUAAAUGCACCGUAAUUGGUUAUCUCUAUGGGAGGCGGAGUUUAGCUCGCUCGUACGGAUCGAGGUAAAAUUUUUCUGAAGUGGUUCACCGAGAAUGUCCGCGAUUGUACCUAAAUUACAAAAUCCAUUAGGGAUUGUGUAUGUGUUUUACGUUAUUUAUGCUUACAUUAAAAUUGCUUUUCAAAUGCCUCGCGUGGAUGUCGUGAGACUAAGAACUACCAAAUAGUACAUUACGAUACAAGCGCGAAAGGUAGGAAAUUCUCACCUAGUGGCGGUUUUUACUACACGGCCUAACAUGCCUACUCUACUCUUGUCUAUAUUAAAACUUCUCGAGCCUUUAUACGCAUAGAGGCUUGAAAUAAUGUAAAGAAGAGGUUCCGAUUGUUCGUCUCUUAGUUUACAAGCGACUUACCUACUAAUAUUUUUAAGAACUAUGACUACUUGUGUCGCUUAACUUCAAACUCGGGUAAAUCCAUUGGACCCUCAGCAAAUGAAGUUAAGCGACUCGCCUGUAUUGACUGUGGCGGCCAACGGAGUUAUUUAUUUCUUGCAACUCUAAAUCAACGUAUAGUGCGUAUGAGAGACUGACAGGUUUGGCACGUGACAAAGAAUCAAGCUUUCUAUUGUGCUAACCCUACGCAUAAUAAACGAUGUGCAAUGUCGCUUUUAUUAUAAACGCGUUUUUUUUUGCUAACCCUUUUCCAGGCCGGACCAAUCUAUAAGGUUUUCCCAAAGAAUUCAAACAUAUUCAAAUUAAUCCAGCUUUGAUAAUCCAAUAAGUCGCAUUUCCCGAAAGUGCAAUCUAAUUUAAACCUUAUAUCGGAACGCUAAAGUUCGAAUUCUAUUGGCGCUUAUGCGGUCAAUAAUUGGUACUAGGUAUGCAUGGAUAAGGGUUAAAUUAUGUGUAAAAAGCACGUACCUAUCUCAUAUAUUAGACUUGGCUAAGGAUGGUAUUCCACCUGUCCAUUUUCUUGGUCCAAUGUGCAUUGCGUCUCACUCUCUCAUUAAGCAAAAUGUGAGACACAAUCACGCAAAUACACUUUGGACUAUUUGAAUAAUGUUGGAAGUUUCCUUGCUUACGUCUCUAUCACUUUAGCAUUAUCGGAAUUGGAGAUGGAGAUUCAGAACCUCGAAUUUAAAGAACACUAACGUUUGGUUGCUUCAAUCCAGGCUUCAUCGCGCUGUUAUUCUAUUAGCGUCAAUGCGACGAAGUUUGGAUAUAAAUAACCAUAAACUGCAAUAAAUGUCAUAUACUUGAAUAUUCUACUUGAAAUAAAAACAAAUUAAAAUAUUUCCGGAAAAUAAUUUAAUUUGUUCCAAUAGUAUAAAUAACCAUCAUUAAGAACUUAACUCAAUGCGUGGUCACUAGGAAAGAUUGAGCAUUAAGCGAGAGCAUCAAUGUUCUUUUUUAGAAAAACGUCGCUUGAGGAGCGUUAGUUGGUGGGUUAAUAUUUAGUGUAAAAGGAUAUAACUCUCUUGCGAUAAUUUAUUGACCUGUAUGUAACCAAUCGUAGCACGUAGCUUGUAUAAGUGUAUUUUGUUGUAUUUUAGCGCAAAACAAUGUAAUAUAUUAAUAAUUGCAGGUUGAUGUCAACAUGUUGUUUGAAAAGUAUUUUUAUUUACCUUAACCAGUGUAUACACUUGUGUUUUAUAGUUAGCAAUAGUAGCAAUCGUGAAUAAUGAAGUUUUAUUUGAAUAUUUUUUUACAUUUAAUUUAUUUUACACCAGAUCUGUAAUAUGUCGACACACCUUGUGUUGUCGUCAUAGUUAAUUCGCCCUAAGAUUAUUCACGAUAAUGUUUGUAUCAUCAAACUGGGCCUGUAUUUGAAGACCAACAAGAAAUGUAUACAUAGGUACAACGCAACGUGUUUCUACUCUCUGGACAUGUACCUAUAGUUAAGGUCCUAAUUUGUCUAGGUAGGUAAUUCGAUAUAACAGCUAGAAUUACGCUUUAGCUCCCUCUUAAACAGUUGUAGACAGUUUACGAAAUAGCACUCUACUUGUAAUCUCCGUGCGUAUCGUCCAUGUGCGAGCCAGGGGCGUAUUUUCAAAUUUGGCGCCCCAGGCCAAAAAGGUUUGCCGCCCCAAAAGUCAAGGAAGAAAAACAAAAAGCAACCCGCCAGGGGCGGCCAUUGCGGGUUGCCGCCCCGGGCCAUGGCCCUAGUGUAAAUACGCCCCUGGUGCGAGCGCGACGUACUAAUAAAUUUUGGUCUCCAAAUUCAGUCCCAUGUUUAAAGGAAACUAGAGUAGAGUUAGACCAAGAAAAGUCUACAACGAUUUUGAUAGCAUACGCAGUGCAUGUGUUAUUUUACACGUCAUAAUUUCAUAGAAGUUUGAUGUUAAAAUAACAUCUCGUUGCAGACUUGUAUUGGUCUAACUCUAAGUUUUACUGUUUAAUCAUGAAGUGCAGUUUGUCAACGGUUAGAUUGAACACGUUGUUGCUUCGUUGGAUACAUUUUGUAUAGGUAGAUACCAAUUUUAUGUUAAGGUAACCGUUUAUUAACAAAAAAGCUAUUAAAAAGAAAGUGUACUA
Cydia fagiglandana is the source of this 3726-nucleotide long non-coding RNA. RefSeq lists it as uncharacterized. Lineage: Eukaryota; Metazoa; Arthropoda; Insecta; Lepidoptera; Tortricidae. The record is from RefSeq and is a predicted model, not a curated record. The transcript is spliced from 2 exons.